Molecule: ribosomal RNA, 468 nt
Filed under: uncultured bacterium
Lineage: Bacteria
Description: partial 16S ribosomal RNA
Rfam family: Bacterial small subunit ribosomal RNA
Source: RNAcentral
GGCGAACGCUAGCGGCGUGCUUAACACAUGCAAGUCGAACGGAAAGGCCCUGCUUUUGUGGGGUGCUCGAGUGGCGAACGGGUGAGUAACACGUGAGUAACCUGCCCUUGACUUUGGGAUAACUUCAGGAAACUGGGGCUAAUACCGGAUAGGAGCUCCUGCUGCAUGGUGGGGGUUGGAAAGUUUCGGCGGUUGGGGAUGGACUCGCGGCUUAUCAGCUUGUUGGUGGGGUAGUGGCUUACCAAGGCUUUGACGGGUAGCCGGCCUGAGAGGGUGACCGGCCACAUUGGGACUGAGAUACGGCCCAGACUCCUACGGGAGGCAGCAGUGGGGAAUAUUGCACAAUGGGCGGAAGCCUGAUGCAGCAACGCCGCGUGCGGGAUGACGGCCUUCGGGUUGUAAACCGCUUUCGCCUGUGACGAAGCGUGAGUGACGGUAAUGGGUAAAGAAGCACCGGCUAACUACGUG